UGGGGUAUCGCCAAGCGGUAAGGCACCGGUUUUUGAUACCGGCAUUCCCUGGUUCAAUCCAGGUACUCCAGCCA
RNAcentral lists this transfer RNA (74 nucleotides) under Shigella flexneri. RNAcentral's name for it is "tRNA-Gln". It matches the Rfam family "tRNA". From Rfam's summary of the family: Transfer RNA (tRNA) molecules are approximately 80 nucleotides in length. Their secondary structure includes four short double-helical elements and three loops (D, anti-codon, and T loops). The record is from RNAcentral. Lineage: Bacteria; Pseudomonadati; Pseudomonadota; Gammaproteobacteria; Enterobacterales; Enterobacteriaceae.